GAUGAAGAACGUAGCGAAAUGCGAUAAGUAAUGCGAAUUGCAGAAUUUCCGUGAAUCAUCGAAUCUUUGAACGCACAUUGCACCCGGUGGUAUUCCGCCGGGUAUGCCUGUCUGAGCGUCAUUUCAACCCUCAAGCCCCGCUUGGUGUUGGCGGAUCGCCCGCUGCGGCGACCGCUGAAAAUUAAUGGCGGUAGCGCCCACAACCCCUGUAGAGUAAAAAUUCUUACAGCGGGUCUGCGGGAUCCCACCAGCCUCGAAACCCCCAAGAAAUGAAAGUUGACCUCAGAUCAGGUAGGAAUACCCGCUGAACUUAAGCAUAUCAAUAAGCGGAGGA
This 334-nucleotide unclassified non-coding RNA is filed under the name soil metagenome. RNAcentral's name for it is "partial contains 5.8S ribosomal RNA, internal transcribed spacer 2, and large subunit ribosomal RNA". The stretch from base 1 to 121 matches the Rfam family "5.8S ribosomal RNA", at positions 35 to 154 of the family's 154-position model. The record is from RNAcentral.